This 1079-nucleotide long non-coding RNA is filed under the name Homo sapiens (human). RNAcentral describes it as "HSALNT0011895". The record is from RNAcentral. Lineage: Eukaryota; Metazoa; Chordata; Mammalia; Primates; Hominidae.
GUGCUUUCUGGGGUCCUUCAGCAGCAGUGCAAUGAGGAGCAUGCACAGGAGAGAUUCUAUUUUCCUUGGAUGGCUUUCUUGAGCCUUGGAAAUCUGGCUCACCAGGAAUUCUAGGCUUCUGUUGUCCCUUGCUUCCUAUCUACCAAAAGCACAAUGAUGCCUUUCUUUUUACUCACAUUUGAUGACAUCCAUAGUGAGAAACAGCAGUUCCACUGUCCAACACCAGGAAAUGUUCUGACUGUUUCACCGCUCCAGCUAAUACUUACAGAGAGAAUGUGAGUGGAAACUAUACGAGCUGCUAACGGGACAAGGCAUUUAAGAAUCAUCCGAGUUCUGCUCUUCUUGCUGGCUGGAGCUAAGAAUUCAAGAACAAACACCAGCAAAGAGAUUCAAUACAAAUAUCCAAUUUUGAGAUAAGGGAUGGAUAACCAUAGUGUGAGUUGAGCCACAGAAAUGUGGAUGAAUUCAAUAAAUAUUUGGAUGAUUGUUUAACAUUACUUCAUAAUUGAUGGGAAUAAAAAAGUAUAACAAAGAGAAGAAAUCAAGGCUGCAGCAUGACAAAAGGCAUGCCCUCAGAACUUUUAAUCUUUAUGAAACAUUUGAAGACCUCGAGAAAGGACAAUACCCUUGGUUCUAUACAGAUGCUGUCAUGAAUUCAUCUUAUAUCAGUUUCAUAAAUCUGAGAAAACAAACUAGAGAGAAGGCAACACAUAUUUCAUUUUAGCUGUGAGCAACUUCCAUUGUGAAUCAAGGAUUCAUUCAAAAUACAUCUGGUAUGAGGUUUUGCUUUUCACAGAAUGGCAACAUCUAACCUCAUCACACAGAAUCCAUGUAGUCAAAUACCAUUGAGGAUAGUUGUGUGGUCACUAUGUUGUAAUAUCAGACAAAGAUGACAGUGAAUCUGCAAAAGAAGAAAGCAUUCUGAGAACCACUGAUUCCAGAGCAGGUGAAGGUCUUCCUCUGUGACCCGAGGUGCAGUGCAGUGGCUCUAUCACAGCUCACUGCAGCCUCAACAUCCCUGGCUCAAGCAAUCUUCUCACAUCAAACCCCUGAGUACCUGGGACCCAGGCAUAAACCAC